UCACACAGGGCAGGGUGACAGUGACCUGUGACAGGGCAGGGUGGCACUGAUCUGUCACACACAGAGCAGGGUGACACUGAUCUGUCACACAGGGCAGGGUGACACUGAUCUGUCACACACGGAGCAGGGUGACACUGAUCUGUCACACACAGAGUGGGGUGGCACUGAUCUGUCACACAGGACAGUGGUGACACUGAUCUGUCACACAGGGCAGGUGACACUGAUCUGUCACACAGGGCAGGGUGGCACUGAUCUGUCACACACAGAGCAGGGUGGCACUGAUCUGUCACACAGGACAGUGGUGGCACUGAUCUGUCCCCUCAGGAAAUCCCAGCACAGGGUGGCACUGGCAGCUCGUGGUGGCACAUCCAAAUCCAGGAGGCUCCCAGGAAAUCCCCCUUUGAGAUACAAACCAGCUCCUCCUCCUUAGGAGCUCCAAAAUACAAAAUUUUAGAGUUGUUAAGGUUGGAAAACACCUUCAAGACCAUCAAGUCCAAGUGUGGCCCCAGCCACCCCCAAACCUUGUCCCCAAGUGCCACCUCCACAUGUUUUCAACCCUUCCAGGGAUGGUGAUUUCACCCUUCCAGUGCCUGACAUUUUCCACGAAGGAUUUCAUCCCAAUUUCCAACCUAAACCCGCUCUGAGGCUGUAGGAAAGGGUCUCCCCUGGCUGGGGUGUUGUGGGAAGAUGGGAUGGGAUGGUUUGGGAUGGGAUGGGAUCCAAUUUUCCCAAUUUCUGUGCAUUUUGGAUCACACCUGAUGCAGAAAUUCGUGUUCUGCUGUCACAGGCAAACCAAACCCAGCAGCUCCUCCCGUGAGAGAUCAAAUCUCCUCCCCUGAGGAAGCUGCAUUAUUUUAUAACAAUGUUCCUUUUCUUCCAGGCUCAAGUUAAGCACUAUUUUAAACAGCUCUCCAGCAUGAAAAGAUUCCAGUCUGGUGGCAAUUCAGCUCAAAGUUUUUAUAUUUAAUUUCCUCUCCCAGCAAGAGGCUGCCCUUGAUUUCCUUUCCCUGCUGUCUCACCAAAAUAUCCUGAAAAUUCUCCAUUUCAGGCACCCUGAUUACAUCCCCCACUCUGCAUCAAAGGCAGAAAAUUAUCAGCCACUCCAAAUAAAGCAGCAGCUGCUCGGGUUUAACUCCUGAAUGUCACUUCCAGCACAGCUGAUGCAUCCCAGGAUUACAGGGGAGUGUUUAUUCCUGCAGGAAUCCCUUUGGAUUUCCAGGGAAGGGACAAGUUCCGAGAUCAGGUGAGAAAGGAAGGAGAAUCAGACUUGAAAAACAAAAAUCCAGGUUGUAGGUGGGACCUGAGUCCUGUAAAAAAAUCCAUGGGAGCACUCAAGGGAUCAGAUCAAACCUCAGCAGAGGAAACAGCAUCAACAGCCUGGGAAUUCCAGGUUUAGGCAUUGUGGUUUUAGAAGAAAAUUUGGUUUUUUUAUACACCAGGCCAUUCAAUUGACAUUGAUUUUCUUCAGGCAGAGGAAAAAUCAGUAUCAGGCUCAGUCUGAGCUGCUUAAUUACAAUUAGAACACAAAGCUGGGUGAAAAACUGUCCCAAAAUCAGCUUUAGGAAUUGUCUGCUACAAAACCAAGGGGUUCAUUAGAGCUGAUUUCCUUUUCUCCAUGGGCAAAGUGCUUUAGGCAAAGGACUGUCACUGUGAAAGCGCAGGUUGGAGAUGCAGAGUGAUAAAAAAAGAAUGGGGAAGAUAAGGAAAAGCAGGAAUUGUGUCCAAAAUGACACGAGGAAUGAAGGUGGUGCCACCCACAAAGCAGCAGAGGCUGUUCAGGAAAAACAGACAGAUUAUUAAAUGUGGUAAUAUUUAAUAAUGGGGUUUUCAAACCCAGGUUAAAUAGAGUCUGGUGGAGCAGCUGCUGGCUUUGGGUUUGGAUAAAGCAGCCCAGGACUGUCCCUGGAUUCCAACUGGGAAAAAGCACAGGAGGCCCCAGGGGUCCCUCCUCUCCCCUCCCCUUUUGUCACACACAGGCAGAAACACCCAGGUUUUUCUCCCAUUUACUUCCAGAGGAAAGGAACACAGAGCUUCAAUGUACAGCAUUCCAUGGGGGAACUGUGAGCUGCAGCCUCCCCCCUCCCCUGGCAGGAGCCUGCACUGCUGAGUGGUGACAGAGGGGACGCAGCCCCUGGGGACACAUCCAGGGACACCCCUGGUGCUGGGGACAUCCCCUGGGACA
Molecule: long non-coding RNA, 2182 nt
Organism: Ficedula albicollis (Collared flycatcher)
Lineage: Eukaryota; Metazoa; Chordata; Aves; Passeriformes; Muscicapidae
Source: Ensembl